UACGUAGGGUGCGAGCGUUGUCCGGAUUUAUUGGGCGUAAAGAGCUCGUAGGCGGUUUGUCGCGUCGGCCGUGAAAUCUCCACGCUUAACGUGGAGCGUGCGGUCGAUACGGGCAGACUUGAGUUCGGUAGGGGAGUCUGGAAUUCCUGGUGUAGCGGUGAAAUGCGCAGAUAUCAGGAGGAACACCGGUGGCGAAGGCGGGACUCUGGGCCGAUACUGACGCUGAGGAGCGAAAGCGUGGGGAGCAAACAGG
Molecule: ribosomal RNA, 253 nt
Filed under: uncultured bacterium
Lineage: Bacteria
Description: partial 16S ribosomal RNA
Rfam family: Bacterial small subunit ribosomal RNA
Source: RNAcentral